This 206-nucleotide unclassified non-coding RNA is filed under the name Glomeraceae sp. Its description in RNAcentral is "partial contains 5.8S ribosomal RNA and internal transcribed spacer 2". The stretch from base 1 to 71 matches the Rfam family "5.8S ribosomal RNA", at positions 84 to 154 of the family's 154-position model. The record is from RNAcentral. Lineage: Eukaryota; Fungi; Glomeromycota; Glomeromycetes; Glomerales; Glomeraceae.
GUGAAUCAUCGAAUUUUUGAACGCAAAUUGCACUUUCUGGUAUUCCGGAGAGUAUGCCUGUUUGAGGGUCAGUUAAAUAAAAAUCGGUUGUGUUUCUGCUUUUUGUUGUUACGGCUCGGGAUUUGGUUGUCUUUGCCUCGGGUAAGUGACUUAAAAUUUUUGAUGGUUUUUUAUCGUAUUUAUUUUUAUUACUUACGGUUGAGAUA